AAUCUUACGGGAGGCAGCAGUGCGGAAUCCUGCACAAUGGGCGAAAGCCUGAUGCCGCCAUGCCGCGUGAGCGAUGAAGGCCUUAGGAUUGUAAAGCUCUUCAGCGGGGAAGAUAAUGACGGUACCUCAGAAGAAGCUGGCUACUUUG
This 148-nucleotide ribosomal RNA is filed under the name uncultured bacterium. Its description in RNAcentral is "partial 16S ribosomal RNA". It matches the Rfam family "Bacterial small subunit ribosomal RNA", at positions 335 to 504 of the family's 1533-position model. The record is from RNAcentral.